CAGCCGUAAACGAUGUGCGUUAGGUGUAUCGACGACCACGAGUUGUCGAGGUGCCGAAGGGAAACCGUGAAACGUACCGCCUGGGAAGUACGGUCGCAAGGCUGAAACUUAAAGGAAUUGGCGGGGGGAGCACCACAACAGGUGGAGCCUGCGGUUUAAUUGGACUCAACGCCGGACAUCUCACCGGAUAAGACAGCUGAAUGAUUGCCGGGCUGAAGACUCUGCAUGACUAGCUGAGAGGUGGUGCAUGGCGUAGUCGUGU
Molecule: ribosomal RNA, 262 nt
Filed under: uncultured archaeon
Lineage: Archaea
Description: partial 16S ribosomal RNA
Rfam family: Archaeal small subunit ribosomal RNA
Source: RNAcentral